UACGUAGGGACCGAGCGUUGUCCGGAUUCAUUGGGCGUAAAGAGCUCGUAGGCGGCCACUCAAGUCGAAUGUGAAACCUCGAGGCUUAACCUCGAGCCUGCAUUCGAUACUGGGCGGCUAGAGUCUGGUAGGGGGAUCUGGAAUUCCUGGUGUAGCGGUGGAAUGCGCAGAUAUCAGGAGGAACACCGGCGGCGAAGGCGGGAUCCUGGGCCAGUACUGACGCUGAGGAGCGAAAGCGUGGGGAGCAAACAGG
Molecule: ribosomal RNA, 253 nt
Filed under: uncultured bacterium
Lineage: Bacteria
Description: partial 16S ribosomal RNA
Rfam family: Bacterial small subunit ribosomal RNA
Source: RNAcentral